This is a small nuclear RNA of Bombina bombina (fire-bellied toad), 134 nucleotides long. RefSeq annotates it as U11 spliceosomal RNA. Lineage: Eukaryota; Metazoa; Chordata; Amphibia; Anura; Bombinatoridae. The transcript has a single exon. The record is from RefSeq and is a predicted model, not a curated record.
AAAAAGGUCUUGUGUUGUGCUUGGCACAUCGCAGCCUACUUUUGGGGGCUUUGGUGCGGAAUCGAUAUCAAGAGAUUUCUGAAGCAUACUUUUUGUUAUGAGGACUGCUUGUGAUCGUUAUUCUGGGCGUCCAA